This 1554-nucleotide ribosomal RNA is filed under the name Klebsiella pneumoniae. RNAcentral's name for it is "bacterial SSU rRNA". It matches the Rfam family "Bacterial small subunit ribosomal RNA". Lineage: Bacteria; Pseudomonadati; Pseudomonadota; Gammaproteobacteria; Enterobacterales; Enterobacteriaceae. The record is from RNAcentral.
ACUUAAAUUGAAGAGUUUGAUCAUGGCUCAGAUUGAACGCUGGCGGCAGGCCUAACACAUGCAAGUCGAGCGGUAGCACAGAGAGCUUGCUCUCGGGUGACGAGCGGCGGACGGGUGAGUAAUGUCUGGGAAACUGCCUGAUGGAGGGGGAUAACUACUGGAAACGGUAGCUAAUACCGCAUAAUGUCGCAAGACCAAAGUGGGGGACCUUCGGGCCUCAUGCCAUCAGAUGUGCCCAGAUGGGAUUAGCUAGUAGGUGGGGUAAUGGCUCACCUAGGCGACGAUCCCUAGCUGGUCUGAGAGGAUGACCAGCCACACUGGAACUGAGACACGGUCCAGACUCCUACGGGAGGCAGCAGUGGGGAAUAUUGCACAAUGGGCGCAAGCCUGAUGCAGCCAUGCCGCGUGUGUGAAGAAGGCCUUCGGGUUGUAAAGCACUUUCAGCGGGGAGGAAGGCGAUAAGGUUAAUAACCUUGGCGAUUGACGUUACCCGCAGAAGAAGCACCGGCUAACUCCGUGCCAGCAGCCGCGGUAAUACGGAGGGUGCAAGCGUUAAUCGGAAUUACUGGGCGUAAAGCGCACGCAGGCGGUCUGUCAAGUCGGAUGUGAAAUCCCCGGGCUCAACCUGGGAACUGCAUUCGAAACUGGCAGGCUAGAGUCUUGUAGAGGGGGGUAGAAUUCCAGGUGUAGCGGUGAAAUGCGUAGAGAUCUGGAGGAAUACCGGUGGCGAAGGCGGCCCCCUGGACAAAGACUGACGCUCAGGUGCGAAAGCGUGGGGAGCAAACAGGAUUAGAUACCCUGGUAGUCCACGCCGUAAACGAUGUCGAUUUGGAGGUUGUGCCCUUGAGGCGUGGCUUCCGGAGCUAACGCGUUAAAUCGACCGCCUGGGGAGUACGGCCGCAAGGUUAAAACUCAAAUGAAUUGACGGGGGCCCGCACAAGCGGUGGAGCAUGUGGUUUAAUUCGAUGCAACGCGAAGAACCUUACCUGGUCUUGACAUCCACAGAACUUAGCAGAGAUGCUUUGGUGCCUUCGGGAACUGUGAGACAGGUGCUGCAUGGCUGUCGUCAGCUCGUGUUGUGAAAUGUUGGGUUAAGUCCCGCAACGAGCGCAACCCUUAUCCUUUGUUGCCAGCGGUUAGGCCGGGAACUCAAAGGAGACUGCCAGUGAUAAACUGGAGGAAGGUGGGGAUGACGUCAAGUCAUCAUGGCCCUUACGACCAGGGCUACACACGUGCUACAAUGGCAUAUACAAAGAGAAGCGACCUCGCGAGAGCAAGCGGACCUCAUAAAGUAUGUCGUAGUCCGGAUUGGAGUCUGCAACUCGACUCCAUGAAGUCGGAAUCGCUAGUAAUCGUAGAUCAGAAUGCUACGGUGAAUACGUUCCCGGGCCUUGUACACACCGCCCGUCACACCAUGGGAGUGGGUUGCAAAAGAAGUAGGUAGCUUAACCUUCGGGAGGGCGCUUACCACUUUGUGAUUCAUGACUGGGGUGAAGUCGUAACAAGGUAACCGUAGGGGAACCUGCGGUUGGAUCACCUCCUUACCUUAAAGAA